This 468-nucleotide ribosomal RNA is filed under the name uncultured bacterium. RNAcentral describes it as "partial 16S ribosomal RNA". It matches the Rfam family "Bacterial small subunit ribosomal RNA", at positions 28 to 507 of the family's 1533-position model. The record is from RNAcentral.
GACGAACGCUGGCGGCGUGCUUAACACAUGCAAGUCGAACGGAAAGGCCCUGCUUUUGUGGGGUGCUCGAGUGGCGAACGGGUGAGUAACACGUGAGUAACCUGCCCUUGACUUUGGGAUAACUUCAGGAAACUGGGGCUAAUACCGGAUAGGAGCUCCUGCUGCAUGGUGGGGGUUGGAAAGUUUCGGCGGUUGGGGAUGGACUCGCGGCUUAUCAGCUUGUUGGUGGGGUAGUGGCUUACCAAGGCUUUGACGGGUAGCCGGCCUGAGAGGGUGAACGGCCACAUUGGGACUGAGAUACGGCCCAGACUCCAACGGGAGGCAGCAGUGGGGAAUAUUGCACAAUGGGCGGAAGCGUGAUGCAGCAACGCCGCGUGCGGGAUGACGGCCUUCGGGUUGUAAACCGCUUUCGCCUGUGACGAAGCGUGAGUGACGGUAAUGGGUAAAGAAGCACCGGCUAACUACGUG